GCCAGACUCCUACGGGAGGCAGCAGUGAGGAAUAUUGGUCAAUGGCCGGAAGGCUGAACCAGCCAAGCCGCGUGAAGGACGAAGGUGCCAAGCAUUGUAAACUUCUUUUGUCAAGGGACAAAAUCAGGCUCGAGAGCCUGACCGAGGGUACUUGAAGAAAAAGCAUCGGCUAACUCCGUGCCAGCAGCCGCGGUAAUACGGAGGAUGCGAGCGUUAUCCGGAUUUAUUGGGUUUAAAGGGUGCGUAGGCGGGGUGUUAGGUAGGGGGGAAAAGCCCGGGGCUCAACCCGGGCGAGCCGUUGAAACUGGCUGUCUUGAGAUGUCGAGAGGUAUGCGGAAUGCGCAGUGUAGCGGUGAAAUGCUUAGAUAUUGCGCAGAACUCCGAUUGCGAAGGCAGCAUACCGGCGGCGAUCUGACGCUGAGGCACGAAAGUGCGGGGAUCGAACAGGAUUAGAUACCCGAGUAACU
Molecule: ribosomal RNA, 467 nt
Filed under: uncultured bacterium
Lineage: Bacteria
Description: partial 16S ribosomal RNA
Rfam family: Bacterial small subunit ribosomal RNA
Source: RNAcentral